UACAGGGGGUGCAAACGUUGCUCGGAAUCAUUGGGCGUAAAGCGCACGUAGGCGGCCUGUUAUGUCGGAUGUGAAAGCCCUUGGCUUAACUGAGGAAGUGCAUCCGAAACUGGCAGGCUAGAGUACUAAAGAGGGUCGCGGAAUUCCCGGUGUAGAGGUGAAAUUCGUAGAUAUCGGGAGGAACACCGGUGGCGAAGGCGGCGACCUGGGUAGAUACUGACGCUGAGGUGCGAAAGCGUGGGGAGCAAACAGG
RNAcentral lists this ribosomal RNA (253 nucleotides) under uncultured bacterium. RNAcentral's name for it is "partial 16S ribosomal RNA". It matches the Rfam family "Bacterial small subunit ribosomal RNA", at positions 524 to 776 of the family's 1533-position model. The record is from RNAcentral.